GAGGUGGCGGUUUGCUCGCUGGGUGCUAUGUACUGAGCGCUUACCCGUGCAGAACAAUGCGCUAAACGCUGGGGCGAGUGCAACACCCUCCUAUAGCAGGCGCAUUCCCUGCCCCCCCACGAGGCGGAGGAACAGUUGUUGCCUUGGGGGGAGGCUCGAGCCUGAUAAGUCGAGCUCGGGCCUUGCUUUUGGUUCAUUCGAUAGUACUUAUUGAGCGCUUACCAUGUGCAGAGCACUGGACUAAGCGCCUGGAAGGGACAAUUCGGCCACCCCUCCAUUGCUACGGACCCAGGGUGCCCAGCGGACCCCAGGUGUGACCCCUGCUGAUGCCCUGGAGGAUCCGGCCGCCCGGCAGAUGGAGAGGAGCUAGUAUCUGCAGGGAGGACAGUUUCCCCCAAGGUUGCCAGGUAAGUUAUCCACAGGUCUCCAUCUCAAGCACCAACAUAUGUUCGCAAGCAGCAUGGCUUACUGGAUAAAGCACGGGCCUGGGAACCAGAAGGACUGGGUUCUAAUCCCGGCUCUGU
Ornithorhynchus anatinus (platypus) is the source of this 524-nucleotide long non-coding RNA. RefSeq lists it as uncharacterized. The record is from RefSeq and is a predicted model, not a curated record. The transcript is spliced from 3 exons. Lineage: Eukaryota; Metazoa; Chordata; Mammalia; Monotremata; Ornithorhynchidae.